AGGUAAGCUACUAAGAGCGAAUGGUGGAUGCCUUGACUGGUAAAGGCGAUGAAGGACGUACUAGACUGCGAUAAGCUACGGGGAGCUGUCAAGAAGCUUUGAUCCGUAGAUUUCCGAAUGGGGCAACCCAAUGUAUAGAGAUAUACAUUACCUAUAUAGGAGCGAACGAGGGGAAUUGAAACAUCUUAGUACCCUCAGGAAAAGAAAUCAAUAGAGAUUGCGUCAGUAGCGGCGAGCGAAAGCGCAAGAGGGCAAACCCAGUGCUUGCACUGGGGGUUGUAGGACUGCAAUGUGCAAGAGGUAAGUUUAGCAGAACAUUCUGGAAAGUAUAGCCAUAGAGGGUGAUAGUCCCGUAUGCGAAAAACAAACCUUAGCUAGCAGUAUCCUGAGUAGGGCGGGACACGAGGAAUCCUGUCUGAAUCCGGGUCGACCACGAUCCAACCCUAAAUACUAAUACCAGAUCGAUAGUGCACAAGUACCGUGAGGGAAAGGUGAAAAGAACUGAGGUGAUCAGAGUGAAAUAGAACCUGAAACCAUUUGCUUACAAUCAUUCAGAGCCCUAUGUAGCAAUACAGGGUGAUGGACUGCCUUUUGCAUAAUGAGCCUGCGAGUUGUGGUGUCUGGCAAGGUUAAGCAAACGCGAAGCCGUAGCGAAAGCGAGUCUGAAUAGGGCGCUUAGUCAGAUGCUGCAGACCCGAAACGAAGUGAUCUAUCCAUGAGCAAGUUGAAGCUAGUGUAAGAACUAGUGGAGGACUGAACCCAUAGGCGUUGAAAAGCCCCGGGAUGACUUGUGGAUAGGGGUGAAAGGCCAAUCAAACUUCGUGAUAGCUGGUUCUCUCCGAAAUAUAUUUAGGUAUAGCGUUGUGUCGUAAUAUAAGGGGGUAGAGCACUGAAUGGGCUAGGGCAUACACCAAUGUACCAAACCCUAUCAAACUCCGAAUACCUUAUAUGUAAUCACAGCAGUCAGGCGGCGAGUGAUAAAAUCCGUCGUCAAGAGGGAAACAACCCAGACUACCAGCUAAGGUCCCUAAGUCUUACUUAAGUGGAAAACGAUGUGAAGUUACUUAAACAACCAGGAGGUUGGCUUAGAAGCAGCCAUCCUUUAAAGAAAGCGUAAUAGCUCACUGGUCUAGUGAUUUUGCGCGGAAAAUAUAACGGGGCUAAAGUAAGUACCGAAGCUGUAGACUUAGUUUACUAAGUGGUAGGAGAGCGUUCUAUUUGCGUCGAAGGUAUACCGGUAAGGAGUGCUGGAGCGAAUAGAAGUGAGCAUGCAGGCAUGAGUAGCGAUAAUUAAUGUGAGAAUCAUUAACGCCGUAAACCCAAGGUUUCCUACGCGAUGCUCGUCAUCGUAGGGUUAGUCGGGUCCUAAGUCGAGUCCGAAAGGGGUAGACGAUGGCAAAUUGGUUAAUAUUCCAAUACCAA
Molecule: ribosomal RNA, 1422 nt
Filed under: Campylobacter jejuni
Lineage: Bacteria; Pseudomonadati; Campylobacterota; Epsilonproteobacteria; Campylobacterales; Campylobacteraceae
Description: partial 23S ribosomal RNA
Rfam family: Bacterial large subunit ribosomal RNA
Source: RNAcentral